This 253-nucleotide ribosomal RNA is filed under the name uncultured bacterium. RNAcentral's name for it is "partial 16S ribosomal RNA". It matches the Rfam family "Bacterial small subunit ribosomal RNA", at positions 524 to 776 of the family's 1533-position model. The record is from RNAcentral.
UACAGAGGUGGCAAGCGUUGUUCGGAAUUACUGGGCGUAAAGGGCGCGUAGGCGGUUCGUUAAGUCCUGUGUGAAAUCCCCCGGCUCAACUGGGGAACUGCACAGGAAACUGGCGGGCUUGAAUCCGGGAGAGGGAUGUGGAAUUCCAGGUGUAGCGGUGAAAUGCGUAGAUAUCUGGAGGAACACCGGUGGCGAAGGCGACAUCCUGGACCGGUAUUGACGCUGAGGCGCGAAAGCCAGGGGAGCAAACGGG